This 97-nucleotide small nuclear RNA is filed under the name Phascolarctos cinereus (koala). The record is from RNAcentral. Lineage: Eukaryota; Metazoa; Chordata; Mammalia; Diprotodontia; Phascolarctidae.
AUAUGUUCCAUAUAUUCCAAUUGGAAUGACAGAAAGAGGAAUAGCAUGACCCCUUCCCAAGAAUGACAUGCAAAGUGACAGAAAAUUCCAUAUUUUA